Molecule: ribosomal RNA, 465 nt
Filed under: Vreelandella stevensii
Lineage: Bacteria; Pseudomonadati; Pseudomonadota; Gammaproteobacteria; Oceanospirillales; Halomonadaceae
Description: partial 16S ribosomal RNA
Rfam family: Bacterial small subunit ribosomal RNA
Source: RNAcentral
CCUACGGGAGGCUGCAGUGGGGAAUAUUGGACAAUGGGGGCAACCCUGAUCCAGCCAUGCCGCGUGUGUGAAGAAGGCCCUCGGGUUGUAAAGCACUUUCAGUGAGGAAGAACGCCUGGUGGUUAAUACCCAUCAGGAAAGACAUCACUCACAGAAGAAGCACCGGCUAACUCCGUGCCAGCAGCCGCGGUAAUACGGAGGGUGCGAGCGUUAAUCGGAAUUACUGGGCGUAAAGCGCGCGUAGGUGGCUUGAUAAGCCGGUUGUGAAAGCCCCGGGCUCAACCUGGGAACGGCAUCCGGAACUGUCAAGCUAGAGUGCAGGAGAGGAAGGUAGAAUUCCCGGUGUAGCGGUGAAAUGCGUAGAGAUCAGGAGGAAUACCAGUGGCGAAGGCGGCCUUCUGGACUGACACUGACACUGAGGUGCGAAAGCGUGGGUAGCAAACAGGAUUAGAUACCCUUGUAGUC